Molecule: long non-coding RNA, 951 nt
Filed under: Homo sapiens (human)
Lineage: Eukaryota; Metazoa; Chordata; Mammalia; Primates; Hominidae
Description: PREDICTED lncRNA (TCONS_00152905)
Source: RNAcentral
UUAUAUUCUCAUAUCCUGACAAAAGGGAAGAGAGGAGAUUGUAGUAGGAGAGUAUCAUGGGAUACUCUCUUUAAUAUUUACACAGAAUUAUGAAGGGAUACACAAGAAGGUGAAUUCCCCUUUUAAGAAAUAUAACUGUUAAUAAAAGGAAAGCAAUUUUCCAUUUUGCACAAAUUUAGGACAGAAAUAUUCAAAGAGGGUAGUGACUACAGUUUCUUCACACUUAGAUGAGAGAAUAAACAAAUACACAACAGUAGUGAUGGUAAUUAUCAGAGGAAGAAUUAUUACCAUAUAUAUAUAUAUAUAUAUAUAUAUAUAUACUUCAUUAAAAUGGAUAUAUCUUUUCUCAUAUAGAGAAAUAAAAACUUGAUUGUGAAGAUAAAUGGGUCUCAGCAGUUGCUAAGAAAAUGACUGGUUACUUUCUGUCCCUUUUGAGGAGCAUGCAGAGAAAUUGCUUUAGCCUCUGAUAAAUAAAACAGACUGCGAGGAAAAUUACAGCGAGGAAAUUACAGACAUCAUCUCCUUUGAACAGGGAAAAGGUAACAGUUUAGGAAAAUGCAAGAAGACAUAUGUAGAUGAGACAAAGAUAGACCAUGUCUAUACAUGUAUGAAAUGGAUGGGAGACAAAGGAAGCAACACUCAUGAGCCAGGACCAUAAAAGCCACAGAAAUAUAAGAAAUGAAUGGGACUACUCUCUGAUCAUUGAAAAAGAGAGACAGAACAUUCGAUGGAGGCAGAAAGAGCAAGGAGUCAGCAGCAGGCAUGGCAUGACAAGCAACCCAGGAACCAUGGGGCAGCAGAAGAGACAGCUCUAUGCAAUCUCACAGUACAAUCAUGUCUGAAAGUACACACUUCUAAAAGUCAUACAUUUCUUGCAAGCAUCAUUUCAGAUGGCUGGAUAGAAGUUUGAAGCAGGCUAAUAAAACUUUGGAAGUGGCAUUUUUUACCUUU